RNAcentral lists this long non-coding RNA (237 nucleotides) under Lathyrus oleraceus (garden pea). RNAcentral's name for it is "Pisum sativum (pea) long non-coding RNA (PSAT_LNC040576)". The record is from RNAcentral. Lineage: Eukaryota; Viridiplantae; Streptophyta; Magnoliopsida; Fabales; Fabaceae.
GGCAUUUAGUGGGGAGUGAGUGGAGCAGGGAAUGAGAUAGUGGGUUUUUUUGUUUUUAGUGGAUUGGGUAUCCAAUGUAAGAAAAAAAUAUCCCCUAAUUAUUAUUUAUUUGAACAUAAAAAUUUACUAAUAAUUAAUUUAAAAAAAACUCUAACUAAUAUUUUAAAAAAACUCUAACUAAUAUUAUAAAAAAAAUCUAACCAAUAUUUAAUUAAAUAGCUAAUAUUUAAAAAAAAA